Molecule: ribosomal RNA, 117 nt
Organism: Sinocyclocheilus anshuiensis
Lineage: Eukaryota; Metazoa; Chordata; Actinopteri; Cypriniformes; Cyprinidae
Source: Ensembl
AACCACAGCCAUAUCAGCCUGCAGCCCAAGACUGGUUGCCCACUGAAGCUAAUCAGGGUUGAGCCUAGUCAGUACCUGGAUGGGAGACCUCCUGGGAAAACUAGGUUGCUGUUGGAA